CCGUGUCCACGUCGCGCAUGUGGGCUCAGCGGGGGGCACACACCUGACGCAAAAGGGACCUUUUGCACAGAGCGUGCAGUGCGGUACCUCGUGGGCCCGGUACUGUCGUACCAAGUUGGAGGCUGUCCUGCGUCUCGCACCGCUUCUCUUUUUCGAUUUGGGGCUGGAGGUCCGUCUGGAUCUGUUCAUGGCGACUCCGGCAGCGACGGCACCGGCGUUGGCCUCUGGGCCAAGGGUACCCCGCGGACCAGAUGAGAGGGCGGCUGUAGUUCGUGUGCCGGCGCUUGAAGCUGCGAUCCAAGGAUUCGCCAAUAGAGGGACUGAUGUGGUUGUCAACCCGUCGAUGGGCACAGUAUUUGACUCGCUGACAGAGGCCUAUGAAUUCUACAAUUUGUAUUCAUGGGAGGUGAGCCGGCAGAAUGUCAACGGGACCAAAUGCAUGUAGGAGAUCGUGUGCGGCUGCGCCGGUAAACCAAAGAGGGAGAACAGUUCAUCGUUGAGAAGCAAUUGUGCCGCCAUGAUUCGUCUACACCGGACAGAUGAUGGGGGGUGGUAUAUAUGCCUCGGAAAAUCGUGCUUCUCACAACCAUAAACUGCUUAGGACUUGUGCUGAGAAGCUGCACUGGCCAACCAAUGCUUGUGCGUGUUUGAAAAAGCUUGUGCGUGUUUGAAUGAGAACGUGCAAACGAUCAGUACUGUCCGGCCGUGUGAAUACAUCCAGGGCGAUAAGUGUUUACUUUA
Triticum aestivum (bread wheat) is the source of this 741-nucleotide long non-coding RNA. RefSeq lists it as uncharacterized. NCBI's taxonomy places the organism in Eukaryota, Viridiplantae, Streptophyta, Magnoliopsida, Poales, Poaceae. The transcript has 3 exons. The record is from RefSeq and is a predicted model, not a curated record.